CUGUGAUGCGGGCGGUUCGCCGCCCGUGACUCUGCGAGAAGUCCAUUGAACCUUAUCAUUUAGAGGAAGGAGAAGUCGUAACAAGGUUUCCGUAGGUGAACCUGCGGAAGGAUCAUUGUCGAGAUCAAAAUAUAUCGAGUGAUUUUGCGAACAUGUGAAUUGAGCGUUGUCCCGUGGCAUCGCAUAACAUUCGUCCGGGUCGCUGUCCCCGUCACUUGUCGGGGCCACGAUGCGUGUCGAAUGAAAACUCAAACCGGCGCAACUACGCGUCAAGGGAAUGCAAAAGAGACACGAGCCCAUAUCGGGCUUGUUGGCGUGGAGUGCUGUUGCGCACCACACGGAUCAUAACGACUCUCGACAAUGGAUAUCUCGGCUCUCGCAUCGAUGAAGAGCGCAGCGAAAUGCGAUACGUGGUGCGAAUUGCAGAAUCCCGCGAACCAUCGAGAAUUUGAACGCAAGUUGCGCCCGAGGCCAGCUGGCUAAGGGCACGUCCGCCUGGGCGUCAAGCGUUGCAUCGCUCCGUGCCCGCUCCAUCCCAGAAGAUGGACGUGGAUGCGGGAGGGUCGGAUGUGCAGAUUGGCUCGUCGUGCGCUUUGGUGCGGCGGGCUGAAGAGUGGGCGAAGUUCUCGUUGACAAUGAGCAGCAAUGGGUGGAUGAAAGUUGUGCCUGUGCUGUAUCUGGUCGGCAUGAGAAGAUAAUCCCUUUAGAUGAUCUCAUACCAAGCGUUCGUCCAUGGACUGCGGCUUGGAAUGCGACCCCAGGAUGGGCGAGGCCACCCGCUGAGUUUAAGCAUAUCAAUAAGCGGAGGAGAAGAAACUUACAAGGAUUCC
Molecule: ribosomal RNA, 830 nt
Rfam family: 5.8S ribosomal RNA (bases 350-505)